GACGAACGCUGGCGGCGUGCUUAACACAUGCAAGUCGAACGGAAAGGCCCUGCUUUUGUGGGGUUCUCGAGUGGCGAACGGGUGAGUAACACGUGAGUAACCUGCCCUUUACUGUGGGAUAACUUCAGGAAACUGCGGCUAAUACCGGAUAGUAGCUCCUGCUGCAUGGUGGGGGUUGGAAAGUUUCGGCGGUUGGGGAUGUACUCGCGGCUUAUCAGCUUGUUGGUGGGGUAGUGGCUUACCAAGGCUUUGACGGAAAGCCGGCCUGAGAGGGUGACCGGGCACAUUGGGACUGAGGUACGGAGCAGACUGCUACGGGAGGCAGCAGGGGGGAAUAUUGCGCAGUGGGGGGAAGCCUGAUGCAGAAACCCCGGGUGCGGGAUGACGGCUUUCGGGGUGUGAACCGAUUUCGCCUGAGACGAAGCGUGAGUGACGGUAAUGGGUAAAGAAGCACCGGCUAACUACGUG
This 468-nucleotide ribosomal RNA is filed under the name uncultured bacterium. RNAcentral describes it as "partial 16S ribosomal RNA". It matches the Rfam family "Bacterial small subunit ribosomal RNA", at positions 28 to 507 of the family's 1533-position model. The record is from RNAcentral.